Molecule: long non-coding RNA, 937 nt
Organism: Ornithodoros turicata
Lineage: Eukaryota; Metazoa; Arthropoda; Arachnida; Ixodida; Argasidae
Exons: 3
Source: RefSeq, a predicted model, not a curated record
CUGACGACUGGCGUGUGCAACAUCUCCGUCUUGGCAGCGUCUUCUACUUCAAGCAACGGGACCUCAGGUGUUAUAGGUAUAAGGUUGGGGUUUUCACGCUCACUGGCAACAUGUCUAUAGAUGACCCGAUAGACUGUGUCUUCGACGUCGUCCCUAGCCAAUUUGACGGUAUUGCUCAUCGAGGAGGCAACCACUUUGAAAUCUGUGUCACCAACCGAGCAGCUAUGAACCGAAUCUUCGAACAAGGCGGCAGUGUCGUCUCUGAAGAAACACUACCCAUCGCGACCCUUGGACCUAAGGUGGUCACCGUCGCUUGCAUCUGUUUCCUUGUAUUUAAUUCCAUCAGCGAGCGGCGGACGGGUUCCUUCGGCAGCCGGCACAUUACGGCAGUGGACUACCGCAGGGAACGGCGACGUACUUUCCCUUCUUGCCGGUCAUGCCGCCCAAGAAUUCCAGCUCCCUCUGCAAUGCCGUACACGUGCCUGCUGCACAGCACCUGCUACAGCAGAUGACGUCACUCUGUACGUUACUGUCUCCUACCAGCCUACCUUUCCAGCCACAGCGACCCCAGGUCAGAUGACUUCCUCGUCGACUUGGACGCUUGCUGAAUGGCCGGCAGAGUCACCGACGAGGAUGUCCGGUGACAUCUUGCACUUGCCAGACGUUUGAAAAUAUGGAAGGGAGUGUGGUGACGGCUUGGUGUUAUCGUUGAUAGCCCCCCCUUUGACGCCUCCCUAUUCUACUGCGAGGGAACCUGAAUCUUGUUCAGCCGUAGCACUACGACCGCGGAAAAGAAAUGCAUCUUGACGACUGUUGCUGGCAGCGGACAGAUUACGACGCAGUGGUCUUCUGCUGGGAACUGCGGUGUAUGCAACAACUACAUAAAUGACUAUGGGAUGAGGCCGUGUAUGUAAAUAAACAUGCUGCUGUUGGUUAA